This 2980-nucleotide ribosomal RNA is filed under the name Salmonella enterica subsp. enterica serovar Give. RNAcentral's name for it is "partial 23S ribosomal RNA". It matches the Rfam family "Bacterial large subunit ribosomal RNA". Lineage: Bacteria; Pseudomonadati; Pseudomonadota; Gammaproteobacteria; Enterobacterales; Enterobacteriaceae. The record is from RNAcentral.
GGUUAAGCGACUAAGCGUACACGGUGGAUGCCCUGGCAGUCAGAGGCGAUGAAGGACGUGCUAAUCUGCGAUAAGCGCCGGUAAGGUGAUAUGAACCGUUAUAACCGGCGAUUUCCGAAUGGGGAAACCCAGUGUGACUCGUCACACUAUCAUUAACUGAAUCCAUAGGUUAAUGAGGCGAACCGGGGGAACUGAAACAUCUAAGUACCCCGAGGAAAAGAAAUCAACCGAGAUUCCCCCAGUAGCGGCGAGCGAACGGGGAGGAGCCCAGAGCCUGAAUCAGCAUGUGUGUUAGUGGAAGCGUCUGGAAAGGCGCGCGAUACAGGGUGACAGCCCCGUACACAAAAGCGCAUGUGCUGUGAGCUCGAUGAGUAGGGCGGGACACGUGGUAUCCUGUCUGAAUAUGGGGGGACCAUCCUCCAAGGCUAAAUACUCCUGACUGACCGAUAGUGAACCAGUACCGUGAGGGAAAGGCGAAAAGAACCCCGGCGAGGGGAGUGAAAAAGAACCUGAAACCGUGUACGUACAAGCAGUGGGAGCCCCACCACUAAGCCAGUGGUGAACUCCACAUACGCAUCCUUUGCUGAGGAUACGGUUAACGGAGCGAAAGCGACGUUCAACCUCAAAAGAAGCAGAGGGGGCUUAGUGGUGGGGUGACUGCGUACCUUUUGUAUAAUGGGUCAGCGACUUAUAUUCUGUAGCAAGGUUAACCGAAUAGGGGAGCCGGAGGGAAACCGAGUCUUAAUUGGGCGUUAAGUUGCAGGGUAUAGACCCGAAACCCGGUGAUCUAGCCAUGGGCAGGUUGAAGGUUGGGUAACACUAACUGGAGGACCGAACCGACUAAUGUUGAAAAAUUAGCGGAUGACCUGUGGCUGGGGGUGAAAGGCCAAUCAAACCGGGAGAUAGCUGGUUCUCCCCGAAAGCUAUUUAGGUAGCGCCUCGUGAAUUCAUCUCCGGGGGUAGAGCACUGUUUCGGCUAGGGGGCCAUCCCGGCUUACCAACCCGAUGCAAACUGCGAAUACCGGAGAAUGUUAUCACGGGAGACACACGGCGGGUGCUAACGUCCGUCGUGAAGAGGGAAACAACCCAGACCGCCAGCUAAGGUCCCAAAGUCAUGGUUAAGUGGGAAACGAUGUGGGAAGGCCCAGACAGCCAGGAUGUUGGCUUAGAAGCAGCCAUCAUUUAAAGAAAGCGUAAUAGCUCACUGGUCGAGUCGGCCUGCGCGGAAGAUGUAACGGGGCUAAACCAUGCACCGAAGCUGCGGCAGCGAACGUAUCACUUAAAGCGAUUCAGCGGAUGACGAUUGACGGAGCGAAGCGACGUCAAAGCGUAUACAAAGUCGAGUCGGUUUAAGGAUACGUUCGUUGGGUAGGGGAGCGUUCUGUAAGCCUGUGAAGGUGUGCUGUGAGGCAUGCUGGAGGUAUCAGAAGUGCGAAUGCUGACAUAAGUAACGAUAAAGCGGGUGAAAAGCCCGCUCGCCGGAAGACCAAGGGUUCCUGUCCAACGUUAAUCGGGGCAGGGUGAGUCGACCCCUAAGGCGAGGCCGAAAGGCGUAGUCGAUGGGAAACGGGUUAAUAUUCCCGUACUUGGUGUUACUGCGAAGGGGGGACGGAGAAGGCUAUGUUGGCCGGGCGACGGUUGUCCCGGUUUAAGCGUGUAGGCUGGUUUUCCAGGCAAAUCCGGAAAAUCAAGGCUGAGGCGUGAUGACGAGGCACUACGGUGCUGAAGCAACAAAUGCCCUGCUUCCAGGAAAAGCCUCUAAGCAUCAGGUAACAUCAAAUCGUACCCCAAACCGACACAGGUGGUCAGGUAGAGAAUACCAAGGCGCUUGAGAGAACUCGGGUGAAGGAACUAGGCAAAAUGGUGCCGUAACUUCGGGAGAAGGCACGCUGACACGUAGGUGAAGUGAUUUACUCAUGGAGCUGAAGUCAGUCGAAGAUACCAGCUGGCUGCAACUGUUUAUUAAAAACACAGCACUGUGCAAACACGAAAGUGGACGUAUACGGUGUGACGCCUGCCCGGUGCCGGAAGGUUAAUUGAUGGGGUCAGCGCAAGCGAAGCUCCUGAUCGAAGCCCCGGUAAACGGCGGCCGUAACUAUAACGGUCCUAAGGUAGCGAAAUUCCUUGUCGGGUAAGUUCCGACCUGCACGAAUGGCGUAAUGAUGGCCAGGCUGUCUCCACCCGAGACUCAGUGAAAUUGAACUCGCUGUGAAGAUGCAGUGUACCCGCGGCAAGACGGAAAGACCCCGUGAACCUUUACUAUAGCUUGACACUGAACAUUGAGCCUUGAUGUGUAGGAUAGGUGGGAGGCUUUGAAGUGUGGACGCCAGUCUGCAUGGAGCCGACCUUGAAAUACCACCCUUUAAUGUUUGAUGUUCUAACGUGGACCCGUGAUCCGGGUUGCGGACAGUGUCUGGUGGGUAGUUUGACUGGGGCGGUCUCCUCCUAAAGAGUAACGGAGGAGCACGAAGGUUGGCUAAUCCUGGUCGGACAUCAGGAGGUUAGUGCAAUGGCAUAAGCCAGCUUGACUGCGAGCGUGACGGCGCGAGCAGGUGCGAAAGCAGGUCAUAGUGAUCCGGUGGUUCUGAAUGGAAGGGCCAUCGCUCAACGGAUAAAAGGUACUCCGGGGAUAACAGGCUGAUACCGCCCAAGAGUUCAUAUCGACGGCGGUGUUUGGCACCUCGAUGUCGGCUCAUCACAUCCUGGGGCUGAAGUAGGUCCCAAGGGUAUGGCUGUUCGCCAUUUAAAGUGGUACGCGAGCUGGGUUUAGAACGUCGUGAGACAGUUCGGUCCCUAUCUGCCGUGGGCGCUGGAGAACUGAGGGGGGCUGCUCCUAGUACGAGAGGACCGGAGUGGACGCAUCACUGGUGUUCGGGUUGUCAUGCCAAUGGCACUGCCCGGUAGCUAAAUGCGGAAGAGAUAAGUGCUGAAAGCAUCUAAGCACGAAACUUGCCCCGAGAUGAGUUCUCCCUGAGACUUA